AUGAAAAAUCAUCGUUGUAUUUCAACUAUAAGAAC
RNAcentral lists this transfer RNA (35 nucleotides) under Canis lupus (wolf). RNAcentral describes it as "partial tRNA-Glu". The record is from RNAcentral. Lineage: Eukaryota; Metazoa; Chordata; Mammalia; Carnivora; Canidae.